AUUGAACGCUGGCGGCAGGCCUAACACAUGCAAGUCGAACGGUAACAGGAAGCAGCUUGCUGCUUCGCUGACGAGUGGCGGACGGGUGAGUAAUGUCUGGGAAACUGCCUGAUGGAGGGGGAUAACUACUGGAAACGGUAGCUAAUACCGCAUAACGUCGCAAGACCAAAGAGGGGGACCUUAGGGCCUCUUGCCAUCGGAUGUGCCCAGAUGGGAUUAGCUAGUAGGUGGGGUAACGGCUCACCUAGGCGACGAUCCCUAGCUGGUCUGAGAGGAUGACCAGCCACACUGGAACUGAGACACGGUCCAGACUCCUACGGGAGGCAGCAGUGGGGGAUAUUGCACAAUGGGCGCAAGCCUGAUGCAGCCAUGCCGCGUGUAUGAAGAAGGCCUUCGGGUUGUAAAGUACUUUCAGCGGGGAGGAAGGGAGUAAAGUUAAUACCUUUGCUCAUUGACGUUACCCGCAGAAGAAGCACCGGCUAACUCCGUG
This 490-nucleotide ribosomal RNA is filed under the name uncultured bacterium. Its description in RNAcentral is "partial 16S ribosomal RNA". It matches the Rfam family "Bacterial small subunit ribosomal RNA", at positions 30 to 507 of the family's 1533-position model. The record is from RNAcentral.